AGAGUUUGAUUAUGGCUCAGGAUGAACGCUGGCGGCGUGCCUAACACAUGCAAGUCGAGCGAGAAGCCCAUGAUCGAUACUCGGUUGAUUGAUGGGUGGAAAGCGGCGGACGGGUGAGUAACGCGUAGGCAACCUGCCCCCUGCAGAGGGAUAGCCUCGGGAAACCGGGAUUAAAACCUCAUAACGCAGACUGCAGACAUCUGCGGUCUGCCAAAGAUUUAUCGGCAGGGGAUGGGCCUGCGUCUGAUUAGUUAGUUGGUGGGGUAACGGCCUACCAAGGCGACGAUCAGUAGCCGACCUGAGAGGGUGAUCGGCCACAUUGGAACUGAGACACGGUCCAAACUCCUACGGGAGGCAGCAGUGGGGAAUAUUGCACAAUGGGCGAAAGCCCUGAUGCAGCAACGCCGCGUGAGGGAUGAAGGCCCUUGGGUCGUAAACUUCUGUUCUAAGGGAAGAUAAUGACGGUACCUUAGGAGCAAGUCCCGGCUAACUACGUGCCAGCCGCCGC
RNAcentral lists this ribosomal RNA (508 nucleotides) under uncultured bacterium. RNAcentral describes it as "bacterial SSU rRNA". It matches the Rfam family "Bacterial small subunit ribosomal RNA", at positions 8 to 518 of the family's 1533-position model. The record is from RNAcentral.